GACGAACGCUGGCGGCGUGCCUAAUACAUGCAAGUAGAACGCGGAAGGUGGAGCUUGCUCUUCUGGAUGAGUUGCGAACGGGUUAGUAACGCGUAGGUAACCUGCCUGUUAGCGGGGGAAAACUAUUGGAAACGAUAGCUAAUACCGCAUAACAGUAGAUGUUGCAUAGGAUUUGCUUAAAAGGUGCAGUUGCACCACUACCAUAUGUGGCUGCGUUGUAUUAGCUAGUUGGUGGGGUAACGGCUCACCAAGGCGACGAUACGUAGCCGACCUGAGAGGGGGCGCGGCGACGCUGGGACUGGAACGCGGCCCGGAACACCACGGGAGGGAGACGUAGGGGAUCUUUGGGAAUGGAAGGAAGGCUGAACGAGCAACGCCGGGUGAGUGAAGAAGGCUUUAGGGUCGUAAAGCUCUGUUGGAAGUGAAGAUCGAGUGUGAGAGUGGAAAGUGCAGAUUGUGACGGUAUCUUAAGAGAAAGGGACGGCUAACUACGUG
This 495-nucleotide ribosomal RNA is filed under the name uncultured bacterium. RNAcentral's name for it is "partial 16S ribosomal RNA". It matches the Rfam family "Bacterial small subunit ribosomal RNA", at positions 28 to 507 of the family's 1533-position model. The record is from RNAcentral.